UCUUCCAAAAGUAUUGAUAAACCCAGCAAGUUUUCAGUGCAAUUCCACAUCCAAAUGUUGUUAUUCAGGUUGUCAUCAACUCAUCAUACUAUAUCAGCUUCAAUGUUAAUUUUUUCUCUCAAGUAGUCCAUAAAUAUGUGAACCUGACCACUCAAAACUACUGCAGGGGUAGGAUUUCUGCAGUAUCCCUUGGCUGGUUAAUCUGUUUGGACUAGAAUUUUCUGAAUUGUAGUAAAGCUUGGCAACUACAGAAUACAUUGUCUCGAGGUAUAAUAGCACUUGAUUCUCUAACAAUCGUUGAUUCAUGAAUUGCAGCAGGGUGAACCCAAGGCCCCUCCUGUGAAUCCCAUUGCUUACAAUUAUUUCAUGAUUGAGAUCUUGAAUUUAACAUUUAGUAUUUUCUUGUUUAUUUUCUUUCUUUUGGAGGAGAACAAGAUGCAGCUUGUAAUGUGUGAAUUUACAACUUUAGUUGAAUAAACAGAAUAUAUCAAUUGUAAGUUCAUGUAUAGAAAAUUCAAUCCUUGCAUAGGUUUUGUAUUAUAUAUAGUUAACUCAGUAUAGUUUACAUUUUUCCAUCUUUCUCCGGGAGCUCUUCAGAUAUCAUCUACACCUCAGACAAGUAACAUUAACUUGCUAAAAGCAAGAAAAGUAACACAAGGUUUGCAAGUUUGACAAAGUUUCCCUCCGUUCUUGAAUGUAGCUAUUUUUAUUUUCUUUUUAUUCAGACUGUUGUUGGCAUGUCGACAAAAAUAUUAACUGCACAUUGUUGCUAGCUGUGACGUUUUGUCAAAGUUGAAUAGAAGAAAGUGGAUUUGUAAACAGAGUGACAACGCCAAUUAUUUUUCUCCUGGUGUGCUAGAUCAAAAGGAAAAGGAGGAAGUAUGUUCAUGCACUGGAAGUUUUACUGAGUCAUGAUGCACAUUGAGUUAGUGCUGUGUUUUCCUUUUCUUUUGAGACAAUUGUUGUAUAAUGGAAAAGGUACACUACCGUUGGGGUGAAACCCAUCAUAUUUCUAAUGGUAUAUAACCAAAAUCGGGGUGAGACAAGAUAUUAUACUGAAAGUUUCAGGUUUGCG
RNAcentral lists this long non-coding RNA (1075 nucleotides) under Triticum aestivum (bread wheat). RNAcentral describes it as "long non-coding RNA (TAES_LNC006341)". Lineage: Eukaryota; Viridiplantae; Streptophyta; Magnoliopsida; Poales; Poaceae. The record is from RNAcentral.